UACGUAGGGGGCAAGCGUUGUCCGGAUUCAUUGGGCGUAAAGAGCGUGUAGGCGGCCAGGUAGGUCGGUUGUGAAAACUGGAGGCUCAACCUUCAGACGUCGACCGAAACCAUCUGGCUAGAGUCCGGGAGAGGAGAGUGGAAUUCCUGGUGUAGCGGUGAAAUGCGUAGAUAUCGGGAGGAACACCUGUGGCGAAAGCGGCUCUCUGGACCACAACUGACGCUGAGGCGCGAAAGCUAGGGGAGCAAACAGG
RNAcentral lists this ribosomal RNA (253 nucleotides) under uncultured bacterium. RNAcentral's name for it is "partial 16S ribosomal RNA". It matches the Rfam family "Bacterial small subunit ribosomal RNA", at positions 524 to 776 of the family's 1533-position model. The record is from RNAcentral.